GAAGGUAUAGCUCAGUGGUAGAGUGCAUGCUUAGCAUGCACGAGGUCCUGGUUUAAUCCCCAAUACCUCCA
Molecule: transfer RNA, 71 nt
Filed under: Camelus bactrianus (Bactrian camel)
Lineage: Eukaryota; Metazoa; Chordata; Mammalia; Artiodactyla; Camelidae
Also listed under: 2 other names
Rfam family: tRNA
About the family: Transfer RNA (tRNA) molecules are approximately 80 nucleotides in length.
Source: Rfam by way of RNAcentral